UGCACAGUAGUUCAGCGGCAGAACAAUCGGCUGUUAACCGAUUUGUCGCAGGUUCGACCCCUGCCUGUGCAGCCA
Molecule: transfer RNA, 75 nt
Filed under: Candidatus Obscuribacterales bacterium
Lineage: Bacteria; Bacillati; Candidatus Melainabacteria; Candidatus Obscuribacterales
Description: tRNA-Asn
Rfam family: tRNA
About the family: Transfer RNA (tRNA) molecules are approximately 80 nucleotides in length.
Source: RNAcentral